This 139-nucleotide small nucleolar RNA is filed under the name Triticum aestivum (bread wheat). RNAcentral's name for it is "Small nucleolar RNA Z247". It matches the Rfam family "Small nucleolar RNA Z247". From Rfam's summary of the family: Z247 is a member of the C/D class of snoRNA which contain the C (UGAUGA) and D (CUGA) box motifs. Most of the members of the box C/D family function in directing site-specific 2'-O-methylation of substrate RNAs. RNAcentral also lists the same sequence under 1 other name. The record is from Rfam by way of RNAcentral. Lineage: Eukaryota; Viridiplantae; Streptophyta; Magnoliopsida; Poales; Poaceae.
CCCAUCCAGGAUGAUGAGCUGAUCUCAUAUCUUCUUCACGGGCUGGAUAUGGACUACCAGCCACUCGUCUCGGCCCUGUAUGCUCGCAUCACGCUGGUGUCCCUCGAUGAGCUCUACUCCAUGUUGAGCAACUUCGACC